RNAcentral lists this ribosomal RNA (177 nucleotides) under uncultured bacterium. Its description in RNAcentral is "partial 16S ribosomal RNA". It matches the Rfam family "Bacterial small subunit ribosomal RNA", at positions 1323 to 1500 of the family's 1533-position model. The record is from RNAcentral.
AAGCUGGAAUUGCUAGUAAUGGCAGGUCAGCAUACUGCCGUGAAUACGUUCCCGGGCCUUGUACACACCGCCCGUCACACCAUGAGAGUUGGGAAUACCCGAAGCCUGUGAGCUAACUUAUAGAGGCAGCAGUCGAAGGUAGAAUCAAUGACUGGGGUGAAGUCGUAACAAGGUAGC